Molecule: non-coding RNA, 74 nt
Organism: Heterocephalus glaber (naked mole-rat)
Lineage: Eukaryota; Metazoa; Chordata; Mammalia; Rodentia; Bathyergidae
Source: Rfam
GGCUCUGUGGCUUAGUUGGCUAAAGUGCCUGUCUCGUAAACAGGAGAUUCUGGGUUCAAAUUCCAGCAGGGCCU